GUGCGAAUGAAUGUUAUGAGUUUUGUUUUAUCUUAACUUUUCUUUUGUAAAGCGCAUCGAGCAUUCUGUCACGUAAGGAAUGCACUCUAUAAAUUUCCUUUUAUUACUGUUAUUAAUCGGUGGUCAGUGUCAAUGGACGGACCUUUUUAACACGCGGAAGAGAGGGGCUUUUAUCAUUCCCCUCACUUCGAAACAAAUGACAUCGUCGUGUAUAUCUGUCGUUUGAAAGCUGCUGUGCCUAAGCUCUCUUUGAAUUCUGCCAGUUGUCGCUUGUCCAGUGACUUGCAUACAACCUCGAUUGGCGCCUCCAGACAGAGCCCGUGAUAAUUAUUCAGACAAUAAAAGUAAAAAAUAAACAAACACACAAACAAACAAAAAAAAAAACAAACAAAAAAAAACAAAAACAAAACCGCUUAAAAAAUGGAAUUGACAAAAUCAUUUGUCAGCUUUACUAUAGUUCCUAUGCUGUGGUUAGCACGAGAGCAUCCAGACAGAAAGCGUAUAUUGUUUUAGCACAGUGCAUAAUGCUAUUUCCCCAAAAUAUAAGGGAAAAACCUAAACCUGCAUCCUUUCUGUCUCAACAUACACGCCUACAAAAAUCAUCAAACACGGGUAAAGUUCUGUUAGAGCGGGUUUUAUAUUAAUAUGACCGGGGAAUGAUCGAUUUCUGUCUGAUAAUUCUAUCUGCUUCGUUAAAUAAACCCCCUUAAUUUAUAAGCCCCAGUUCGUUCUUCCAAAAAAAAAAAAAAAAUCACUAUAUAUAUGCACAGAAAAGGUCAAACACGUCAAAGCUACACCUGAUGAAAGAUCCGAGACCAAAUAUAAAUUACACACAUCUGUACAUUAAUAACUGCGGGUGAUGCUUGUGUGUAUAUAUACAUAUCUAAACGGGGGGAAAAAAAAUUCACUGUCAGAUUUGGGAAAUCACCAAGCUCUCUACCCAUUCAUUUAAAAUAAUUAAUGGUAAUAUUGAUAUUUUAUCAACAAUAAGAAUUCAUAGGACCUAUAUAUAGAUGAAGUGAAUAGUAUAAAAAGAGAGGGCACCCCAUAGGUUUAACAAUGCACGAUCAGAUGUCGCUCGCACACCGGCAUCUUCUCCUGUUGCAAACACUACUUCUCUCUCUCUCUCUUUAUGUCCAAUGGUUUAUGAUGUGACUCUUAUAAAGGACCCAGAUUUGAAAUCUCACGGUCAGGUCGUUAACUGUCAAAAUAUAUCCCCAUCGGGAAGGAACCGUGCAUGUAUACUUACCAGGCAUGUACAGGUCUGUAGUUUCAUAUUCAUGUGUGAUCUUAAGCCUUUCAGUCACGCACUGUAUGAAGUUAUUUGUUAAAACAAAGGUUCCUGCCUUUAUAGACAAUGAUGCUGCGCAUGAAAAUAAAUUAAUUUGUCACGAUCGACGCUCUUGAAAGAAUGAUCCCCUAUUUAUAUGAUGUUUGCCCUGGAUCAAGGAUGCGAUAGUAUGUCUAUUGCGCAGUUUUGUGUGAAUUUUUUUAAAGUUAAUUAAACCUUAACUUCUUUGCGUUGCACGUUUACGAUAUACCUCCGUCAUGAAACAGGCAUGAAUGGAAAGCUACACUAGAGCUACCGCGGAUGCACUGUGAUGUGUCACGGCGACGCGCGGCAGGCGCAAGCAGUCGCUGUGCUGCGAAGGUCGCCAGCUACACAUUCUUGCGCACAUGUCACUGGUGUCACCGAUUGGAACCCACCCAUCUACAUUUAUUAUUAUUUUCCACGUGCAGAGAAGAGAACUUCGAUUGCUUGAAACAAGCGAUCACUAAUUUGUGAGAUAGCACUUUGGAUUACUUUUCAUUCAAGCGACAUUUUCCGGUCAACUCGAUUGAUCGGCGCGACACAAGUUGAACAAGUUUUUGAACUUCUUCUAUGGGAUUUUGAUGUUGAAGAUGAGACGCCCACACUGCGGUUGGAGUGUAACGACCGAUGUGUCAGUGGUGAGACGAUGAGCCUGGCAUUUGUCUGGUGCUGUGUUGGAACUCUCGUACUUGCCGAGUGGACUGUCUCGUAGGAACUAAGGCUGGAGAACUGAGAUAAGUGUAUUGGAACCCGUGUUUAAGCCUACCCUGAUGCCUGGUACCCGGUGAAGAUGGAGGGGGGAGUGACUGGCGGCGGGCCUGGGGAGGGGAUAUGUCCGGCCUGCCGCCUGCCCUUCGACUCGGGCAAGAAGCGGCGCCUCAUCG
Molecule: long non-coding RNA, 2196 nt
Organism: Pomacea canaliculata
Lineage: Eukaryota; Metazoa; Mollusca; Gastropoda; Architaenioglossa; Ampullariidae
Exons: 4
Source: RefSeq, a predicted model, not a curated record